RNAcentral lists this ribosomal RNA (1047 nucleotides) under Staphylococcus aureus. RNAcentral's name for it is "partial 23S ribosomal RNA". It matches the Rfam family "Bacterial large subunit ribosomal RNA", at positions 1503 to 2547 of the family's 2925-position model. The record is from RNAcentral. Lineage: Bacteria; Bacillati; Bacillota; Bacilli; Caryophanales; Staphylococcaceae.
AUUGCACGUCUAAGCAGUAAGGCUGAGUAUUAGGCAAAUCCGGUACUCGUUAAGGCUGAGCUGUGAUGGGGAGAAGACAUUGUGUCUUCGAGUCGUUGAUUUCACACUGCCGAGAAAAGCCUCUAGAUAGAAAAUAGGUGCCCGUACCGCAAACCGACACAGGUAGUCAAGAUGAGAAUUCUAAGGUGAGCGAGCGAACUCUCGUUAAGGAACUCGGCAAAAUGACCCCGUAACUUCGGGAGAAGGGGUGCUCUUUAGGGUUAACGCCCAGAAGAGCCGCAGUGAAUAGGCCCAAGCGACUGUUUAUCAAAAACACAGGUCUCUGCUAAACCGUAAGGUGAUGUAUAGGGGCUGACGCCUGCCCGGUGCUGGAAGGUUAAGAGGAGUGGUUAGCUUCUGCGAAGCUACGAAUCGAAGCCCCAGUAAACGGCGGCCGUAACUAUAACGGUCCUAAGGUAGCGAAAUUCCUUGUCGGGUAAGUUCCGACCCGCACGAAAGGCGUAACGAUUUGGGCACUGUCUCAACGAGAGACUCGGUGAAAUCAUAGUACCUGUGAAGAUGCAGGUUACCCGCGACAGGACGGAAAGACCCCGUGGAGCUUUACUGUAGCCUGAUAUUGAAAUUCGGCACAGCUUGUACAGGAUAGGUAGGAGCCUUUGAAACGUGAGCGCUAGCUUACGUGGAGGCGCUGGUGGGAUACUACCCUAGCUGUGUUGGCUUUCUAACCCGCACCACUUAUCGUGGUGGGAGACAGUGUCAGGCGGGCAGUUUGACUGGGGCGGUCGCCUCCUAAAAGGUAACGGAGGCGCUCAAAGGUUCCCUCAGAAUGGUUGGAAAUCAUUCAUAGAGUGUAAAGGCAUAAGGGAGCUUGACUGCGAGACCUACAAGUCGAGCAGGGUCGAAAGACGGACUUAGUGAUCCGGUGGUUCCGCAUGGAAGGGCCAUCGCUCAACGGAUAAAAGCUACCCCGGGGAUAACAGGCUUAUCUCCCCCAAGAGUUCACAUCGACGGGGAGGUUUGGCACCUCGAUGUCGGCUCAUCGCAUCC